UGCCUAAGACAUGCAAGUCGAACGGGCUGUUUAUGCAGCCAGUGGCGGACGGGUGAGUAACACGUAGGUGACCUACCCCAAAGUCUGGGACAACUAGGAGAAAUCUUAGCUAAUCCUGGAUGUGGACAUCUACUUUGGUGGAUGUUUAAAGCUUCGGCGCUUUGGGAUGGGCCUGCGGCGCAUCAGGUAGUUGGUGGGGUAAUGGCCUACCAAGCCGACGACGCGUAGCUGGUCUGAGAGGACGAUCAGCCACAGGGGUACUGAGACACGGACCCCACUCCUACGGGAGGCAGCAGUUAGGAAUCUUCCGCAAUGGGCGAAAGCCUGACGGAGCGAUACCGCUUGAAGGACGAAGCCCUUCGGGGUGUAAACUUCUGAACUCGGGACGAUAAUGACGGUACCGAGGUAAUAGCACCGGCUAACUCCGUGCCAGCAGCCGCGGUAAUACGGAGGGUGCGAGCGUUACCCGGAUUUACUGGGUGUAAAGGGCGUGUAGGCGGUCUCUCAAGUCCGAUGCUAAAGACCGAAGCUCAACUUCGGGGGUGCGUUGGAUACUGUGAGGCUAGACGGUCGGAGAGGGUAGCGGAAUUUCCGGAGUAGCGGUGAAAUGCGCAGAUACCGGAAGGAACGCCAAUAGCGAAAGCAGCUACCUGGACGAUUUGUGACGCUGAGGCGCGAAAGCGUGGGGAGCAAACCGGAUUAGAUACCCGGGUAGUCCACGCCCUAAACGAUGAGUGCUGGGUGUCCGACAUCUGUUGGGUGCCGUAGCUAACGCGUUAAGCACUCCACCUGG
RNAcentral lists this ribosomal RNA (793 nucleotides) under Meiothermus ruber. RNAcentral's name for it is "bacterial SSU rRNA". It matches the Rfam family "Bacterial small subunit ribosomal RNA", at positions 45 to 876 of the family's 1533-position model. Lineage: Bacteria; Thermotogati; Deinococcota; Deinococci; Thermales; Thermaceae. The record is from RNAcentral.